RNAcentral lists this ribosomal RNA (254 nucleotides) under uncultured bacterium. RNAcentral describes it as "partial 16S ribosomal RNA". It matches the Rfam family "Bacterial small subunit ribosomal RNA", at positions 524 to 776 of the family's 1533-position model. The record is from RNAcentral.
UACAGAGGGUGCGAGCGUUGUUCGGAAUUACUGGGCGUAAAGCGCGCGCAGGCGGCUUUUUAAGUCCGCUGGUGAAAUGCCGGGGCUCAACCCCGUGCCCGCCAGGGAUACUGGAGAGCUGGAGACGAGUAGAGGCAAGCGGAAUUCCGGGUGUAGCGGUGGAAUGCGUAGAGAUCCGGAAGAACACCGGAGGCGAAGGCGGCUUGCUGGGCUCGGUCUGACGCUGAGGCGCGAAAGCGUGGGGAGCGAACAGG